AGGAGAGUUUGAUCCUGGCUCAGGAUAAACGCUGGCGGCGCACAUAAGACAUGCAAGUCGAACGGAAGCCGUUAUAAAUGAAACGGAUUGAAGAUUUAUCAGAUUGAAGUAGAUUUUAUAACAAUGACUUUAGUGGCGGACUGGUGAGUAACGCGUGAGCAACCUGCCUAUUAGAGGGGAAUAACAGUGAGAAAUCAUUGCUAAUACCGCAUAAGCUUGUAGGAAUGCAUGUUCUAGCAAGAAAAGGAGAAAUCCGCUAAUAGAUGGGCUCGCGUCUGAUUAGCUAGUUGGUGUGGUAACGGCAUACCAAGGCAACGAUCAGUAGCCGAGCUGAGAGGCUCUACGGCCACAUUGGGACUGAGAUACGGCCCAGACUCCUACGGGAGGCAGCAGUCGGGAAUAUUGCGCAAUGGAGGAAACUCUGACGCAGUGACGCCGCGUAUAGGAAGAAGGUUUUAGGAUUGUAAACUAUUUUAGACAGGGAAGAGAAAAGACAGUACCUGUAGAAUAAGCUCCGGCUAACUACGUGCCAGCAGCCGCGGUAAUACGUAGGGAGCAAGCGUUAUCCGGAAUUAUUGGGUGUAAAGGGUGCGUAGACGGGAACUUAAGUUGGUUGUGAAAUCCCUCGGCUUAACUGAGGAACUGCAACCAAAACUGAGAUUCUUGAGUGCUGGAGAGGAAAGCGGAAUUCCUAGUGUAGCGGUGAAAUGCGUAGAUAUUAGGAGGAACACCAGUGGCGAAGGCGGCUUUCUGGACAGUAACUGACGUUGAGGCACGAAAGUGUGGGGAGCAAACAGGAUUAGAUACCCUGGUAGUCCCCU
RNAcentral lists this ribosomal RNA (821 nucleotides) under uncultured Bacillota bacterium. RNAcentral's name for it is "bacterial SSU rRNA". It matches the Rfam family "Bacterial small subunit ribosomal RNA", at positions 1 to 799 of the family's 1533-position model. Lineage: Bacteria; Bacillati; Bacillota. The record is from RNAcentral.